AGUGAACGCUGGCGGUAGGCCUAACACAUGCAAGUCGAACGGCAGCACAGUAAGAGCUUGCUCUUACGGGUGGCGAGUGGCGGACGGGUGAGGAAUACAUCGGAAUCUACUUUUUCGUGGGGGCUAACGUAGGGAAACUUACGCUAAUACCGCAUACGACCUACGGGUGAAAUCAGGGGAGCUUCGGACCUUGCGCGAUUGAAUGAGCCGAUGUCGGAUUAGCUAGUUGGCAGGGUAAAGGCCCACCAAGGCGACGAUCCGUAGCUGGUCUGAGAGGAUGAUCAGCCACACUGGAACUGAGACACGGCCCAGACUCCUACGGGAGGCAGCAGUGGGGAAUAUUGGACAAAGGGCGCAAGCCUGAUCCAGCCAUACCGCGUGGGUGAAGAAGGCCUUCGGGUUGUAAAGCCCUUUUGUUGGGAAAGAAAAGCAGCAGGUUAAUACCCCGCUGUUCUGACGGUACCCAACGAAUAAGCACCGGCUAACUUCGUG
Molecule: ribosomal RNA, 492 nt
Filed under: uncultured bacterium
Lineage: Bacteria
Description: partial 16S ribosomal RNA
Rfam family: Bacterial small subunit ribosomal RNA
Source: RNAcentral